CCUACGGGAGGCAGCAGUGAGGAAUAUUGGUCAAUGGGCGAGAGCCUGAACCAGCCAAGUCGCGUGAGGGAGUACUGCCCUAUGGGUUGUAAACCUCUUUUGUCGGGGAGCAAAAGCCGGACGUGUCCGGCUGUGAGAGUACCCGAAGAAAAAGCAUCGGCUAACUCCGUGCCAGCAGCCGCGGUACUACGGAGGAUGCGAGCGUUAUCCGGAUUUAUUGGGUUAAAAGGGUGCGCAGGCGGAUUUUUAAGUCAGCGGUAAAAUCGUGGGGCUCAACCCCAUCCAGCCGUUGAAACUGGGGAUCUAGAGUGUGCGAGAGGUAUGCGGAAUGCGUGGUGUAGCGGUGAAAUGCAUAGAUAUCACGCAGAACCCCGAUUGCGAAGGCAGCAUACCGGUGCACAACUGACGCUCAGGCACGAAAGCGUGGGUAUCGAACAGGAUUAGAUACCCCUGUAGUC
RNAcentral lists this ribosomal RNA (458 nucleotides) under uncultured bacterium. RNAcentral describes it as "partial 16S ribosomal RNA". It matches the Rfam family "Bacterial small subunit ribosomal RNA", at positions 338 to 795 of the family's 1533-position model. The record is from RNAcentral.